CGCAGCCGCGGUAAUUCCAGCUCCAAUAGCGUAUAUUAAAGUUGUUGCAGUUAAAAAGCUCGUAGUUGAAUUUCGGAAUUUGUCGGUUGGUCGGGCUUCACUGUCCGCACUGACCUGAUGGAUUCCUACCUUCUGAAUAACCAGCAUGCUAUUAAGUUAGUGCGUUGGGGAAGCAGAGCUAUUACCUUGAAAAAAUUAGAGUGCUUAAAGCAGGCUUGUGCUUGAAUAGAUUAGCAUGGAAUAAUAAAAUAGGACGGCAUGGUUCUAUUUUGUUGGUUUCUAGGAUCACCGUAAUGAUUAAUAGGGAUAGUUGGGGGCAUUAGUAUUCAAUUGUCAGAGGUGAAAUUCUUGGAUUUAUUGAAGACUAAACUUCUGCGAAAGCAUUUGCCAAGGAUGUUUUCAUUAAUCAAGAACGAAAGUUAGGGGAUCGAAGACGAUCAGAUACCGUCG
RNAcentral lists this ribosomal RNA (450 nucleotides) under uncultured Acaulospora. Its description in RNAcentral is "SSU rRNA". It matches the Rfam family "Eukaryotic small subunit ribosomal RNA", at positions 569 to 1020 of the family's 1831-position model. The record is from RNAcentral. Lineage: Eukaryota; Fungi; Glomeromycota; Glomeromycetes; Diversisporales; Acaulosporaceae.